CAAUAGCGUAUAUUAAAGUUGUUGCAGUUAAAAAGCUCGUAGUUGGAUUUCUGGUAGGAGUGACCGUUCCGAACUUGAUUGUUCGUGUAUUGUGUUUUCUCCAGCCAUCCUUGUGGAGAACUUUUCUUGCAUUAAUUUGUAGGGAUUGGGACCCGCAUCGUUUACUGUGAAAAAAUUAGAGUGUUUAAAGCAGGCAAUCGCUUGAAUACAUUAGCAUGGAAUAAUAAGAUAGGACUUUGGUACUAUUUUGUUGGUUUGCAUACCAAAUUAAUGAUCAACAGGAACAGUUUGAGGAUAUUCGUAUGAACAUGUCAGAGGUGAAAUUCUUGGAUUUUGAUCAGACGAACUACUGCGAAAGCAUUUAUCAAGGAUAUUUUCAUUAA
RNAcentral lists this ribosomal RNA (383 nucleotides) under uncultured eukaryote. RNAcentral describes it as "partial 18S ribosomal RNA". It matches the Rfam family "Eukaryotic small subunit ribosomal RNA", at positions 592 to 976 of the family's 1831-position model. The record is from RNAcentral.